UACGGAGGGUGCGAGCGUUAAUCGGAAUCACUGGGCGUAAAGCGCGCGUAGGCGGCUUUUCAAGUCAGGGGUGAAAUCCCACGGCCCAACCGUGGAACUGCCUUUGAAACUGUAGAGCUUGAGUGUCGGAGAGGGUGGCGGAAUUCCAGGUGUAGGAGUGAAAUCCGUAGAUAUCUGGAGGAACACCGGUGGCGAAGGCGGCCACCUGGACGACAACUGACGCUGGGGUGCGAAAGCGUGGGUAGCAAACAGG
This 253-nucleotide ribosomal RNA is filed under the name uncultured bacterium. RNAcentral's name for it is "partial 16S ribosomal RNA". It matches the Rfam family "Bacterial small subunit ribosomal RNA", at positions 524 to 776 of the family's 1533-position model. The record is from RNAcentral.